Molecule: ribosomal RNA, 117 nt
Organism: Sinocyclocheilus grahami
Lineage: Eukaryota; Metazoa; Chordata; Actinopteri; Cypriniformes; Cyprinidae
Source: Ensembl
UAGUAGAGCCAUAUCACCCUGCAGCCCAAGACUGGUUGCCCACUGAAGCUAAGCAGGGUUGAGCCUGGUCAAUACCUGGAUGGGAGACCUCCUGGGGAAACUAGGUUGCUGUUGGAA